CACCUGCAGUCGGCGCACUCUUCGGAGUGAGCGGGGAGGGUUAGUAACGCGUGGGAAAUGACCUUCACUACGGAAUAGCCUCGGGAAACUGAGAGUAAUACCGUAUACGCCCUUUGGGGGAAAGAUUUAUCGGUGAAGGAUUAGCCCGCGUCUGAUUAGAUAGUUGGUGGGGUAAUGGCCUACCAAGUCUACGAUCAGUAGCUGGUUUGAGAGGAUGAUCAGCAACACUGGGACUGAGACACGGCCCAGACUCCUACGGGAGGCAGCAGUGGGGAAUCUUAGACAAUGGGCGCAAGCCUGAUCUAGCCAUGCCGCGUGAGUGACGAAGGCCUUAGGGUCGUAAAGCUCUUUCGCCAGGGAUGAUAAUGACAGUACCUGGUAAAGAAACCCCGGCUAACUCCGUGCCAGCAGCCGCGGUAAUACGGAGGGGGUUAGCGUUGUUUCGGAAUUACUGGGCGUAAAGCGUACGUAGGCGGAUUGGAAAGUAGGGGGUGAAAUCCCCAGGGCUCAACCCCUGGAAACUGCCUCCCUAAACUAUCAGUCUAGAGUUUCGAGAGAGGGUGAGUGGGAAUUCCAAGUGUAGAGGUGAAAUUUCGUAAAUAUUUUGGAGGAACACCAGUGGGCGAAAGGCCGGGCUCACCUGGGCUCCA
This 650-nucleotide ribosomal RNA is filed under the name bacterium MB-G22. Its description in RNAcentral is "bacterial SSU rRNA". It matches the Rfam family "Bacterial small subunit ribosomal RNA", at positions 52 to 739 of the family's 1533-position model. RNAcentral also lists the same sequence under 1 other name. The record is from RNAcentral.